GCAGGGAUGGAGCAAUGGUUGGCUCAUCAGGCUCAUACCCUGAAAAUCAGCAAGUUCAAAUCUUGCCCCUGCU
Molecule: transfer RNA, 73 nt
Filed under: Moorena sp. SIO2B7
Lineage: Bacteria; Bacillati; Cyanobacteriota; Cyanophyceae; Coleofasciculales; Coleofasciculaceae
Description: tRNA-Met
Rfam family: tRNA
About the family: Transfer RNA (tRNA) molecules are approximately 80 nucleotides in length. Their secondary structure includes four short double-helical elements and three loops (D, anti-codon, and T loops). Further hydrogen bonds mediate the characteristic L-shaped molecular structure. tRNAs have two regions of fundamental functional importance: the anti-codon, which is responsible for specific mRNA codon recognition, and the 3' end, to which the tRNAs corresponding amino acid is attached (by aminoacyl-tRNA synthetases). tRNAs cope with the degeneracy of the genetic code in two manners: having more than one tRNA (with a specific anti-codon) for a particular amino acid; and 'wobble' base-pairing, i.e. permitting non-standard base-pairing at the 3rd anti-codon position.
Source: RNAcentral